UACGUAGGUGGCAAGCGUUGUCCGGAUUUAUUGGGCGUAAAGCGAGCGCAGGCGGUUUCUUAAGUCUGAUGUGAAAGCCCUCGGCUCAACCGAGGAAGGUCAUUGGAAACUGGGGAACUUGAGUGCAGAAGAGGAGAGUGGAAUUCCAUAUGUAGCGGUGAAAUGCGUAGAUAUAUGGAGGAACACCAGUGGCGAAGGCGACUCUCUGGUCUGGAACUGACGCUGAAGCUCGAAAGCGUGGGGAGCAAACAGG
This 253-nucleotide ribosomal RNA is filed under the name uncultured bacterium. RNAcentral's name for it is "partial 16S ribosomal RNA". It matches the Rfam family "Bacterial small subunit ribosomal RNA", at positions 524 to 776 of the family's 1533-position model. The record is from RNAcentral.